UGCCCAAGAGAUCGGGAUAACACCUGGAAACAGAUGCUAAUACCGGAUAACAACAGAUGAUGCCUAUCAACUGUUUAAAAGAUGGUUCUGCUAUCACUCUUGGAUGGACCUGCGGUGCAUUAGCUAGUUGGUAGGGUAACGGCCUACCAAGGCGAUGAUGCAUAGCCGAGUUGAGAGACCGAUCGGCCACAUUGGGACUGAGACACGGCCCAAACUCCUACGGGAGGCAGCAGUU
RNAcentral lists this ribosomal RNA (235 nucleotides) under uncultured Lactobacillus sp. RNAcentral's name for it is "partial 16S ribosomal RNA". It matches the Rfam family "Bacterial small subunit ribosomal RNA", at positions 127 to 355 of the family's 1533-position model. The record is from RNAcentral. Lineage: Bacteria; Bacillati; Bacillota; Bacilli; Lactobacillales; Lactobacillaceae.